UGCCAGCCGCCGCGGUAAUACGAAGGGUGCUAGCGUUGUUCGGAAUUACUGGGCGUAAAGAGCAUGUAGGCGGCUUGGCAAGUGUUGUGUGAAAGCCCGCAGCUUAACUGCGGAAUUGCAUGGUAAACUGCCUGGCUUGAGGUCGGUAGAGGUGUCUGGAACUCUAGGUGGAGCGGUGAAAUGCGUAGAUAUCUAGAGGAACGCCGGAGGCGAAAGCGGGACACUGGGCCGAUUCCGACGCUGAGAUCCGAAAGCGUGGGGAGCAAACAGGAUUAGAUA
This 279-nucleotide ribosomal RNA is filed under the name uncultured bacterium. Its description in RNAcentral is "partial 16S ribosomal RNA". It matches the Rfam family "Bacterial small subunit ribosomal RNA", at positions 506 to 784 of the family's 1533-position model. The record is from RNAcentral.